Molecule: ribosomal RNA, 468 nt
Filed under: uncultured bacterium
Lineage: Bacteria
Description: partial 16S ribosomal RNA
Rfam family: Bacterial small subunit ribosomal RNA
Source: RNAcentral
GACGAACGCUGGCGGCGUGCUUAACACAUGCAAGUCGAACGGAAAGGCACUGCUUUUGUGGGGUGCUCGAGUGGCGAACGGGUGCGUAACACGUGAGUAACCUGCUCUUGAUUUUGGGAUAACUUCAGGAAACUGGGGCUACUACCGGAUCGGAGCUCAUGCUGCCUGGUGGGGGUUGGAAAGUUUCGGCGGUUGGGGAUGGACUCGCGGCUUAUCAGCUUGUUGGUGGGGUAGUGGCUUACCACGGCUUUGACGGGUCGCCGGCCUGAGAGGGUGACCGGCCACAUGGGGACUGAGAUACGGCGCAGACUGCUACGGGAGGCAGCAGUGGGGAAUAUUGCACAAUGGGCGGAAGCCUGAUGCAGCAACGCCGCGGGCGGGAUGACGGCCUUCGGGGUGUAAACCGCUGUCGCCUGUGACGAAGCGUGAGUGACGGUAAUGAGUAAAGAAGCACCGGCUAACUACGUG